Molecule: ribosomal RNA, 253 nt
Filed under: uncultured bacterium
Lineage: Bacteria
Description: partial 16S ribosomal RNA
Rfam family: Bacterial small subunit ribosomal RNA
Source: RNAcentral
UACGUAGGUGGCAAGCGUUGUCCGGAUUUACUGGGCGUAAAGAGCGCGCAGGCGGUCGUUCAAGUCGCGUGUGAAAGCCCCCGGCUCAACUGGGGAGGGUCACGCGAUACUGAUCGACUCGAAGGCAGGAGAGGGUAGUGGAAUUCCCGGUGUAGUGGUGAAAUGCGUAGAUAUCGGGAAGAACACCCGUGGCGAAGGCGGCUCUCUGGAACGCAACUGACGCUGAGACGCGAAAGCGUGGGGAGCAAACAGG